Molecule: long non-coding RNA, 179 nt
Filed under: Dasypus novemcinctus (nine-banded armadillo)
Lineage: Eukaryota; Metazoa; Chordata; Mammalia; Cingulata; Dasypodidae
Description: lncRNA (ENSDNOG00000052360.1)
Source: RNAcentral
UGUCAGAGAAGAAGUUUAGAUGCUUUUUCUUCAAAGCAUUUCUUUCUACUGAUAGAAGAAGAUUAAUUCAAUUUGCCAGGUAUCUCUCUUGCUAGAGAGAGAUAUAUUAGGAACCUUUGAAAAUGGAUAUUUUCACAUGUUCUUCUUCAGAUACAAAAGCUGGCAGACACUGACAUGAG